This 743-nucleotide ribosomal RNA is filed under the name uncultured bacterium. RNAcentral's name for it is "bacterial SSU rRNA". It matches the Rfam family "Bacterial small subunit ribosomal RNA", at positions 98 to 873 of the family's 1533-position model. The record is from RNAcentral.
GCGAAUGGGUGAGUAACACGUAGGUGACCUGCCCCAAAGAGGGGAAUAACCACUGGAAACGGUGGCUAAUACCCCAUGUGCUCGGCGGUUCGGUCCGCUGAGUAAAGCUCCGGUGCUUUGGGAGGGGCCUGCGGCCCAUCAGGUAGUUGGUAGGGUAAUGGCCUACCAAGCCAAUGACGGGUAGGGGGCGUGAGAGCGUGAUCCCCCACACUGGCACUGACACACGGGCCAGACUCCUACGGGAGGCAGCAGUGAGGAAUAUUGAGCAAUGGGCGAAGGCCUGACUCAGCAACGCCGCGUGGGCGAUGAAGGCCUUCGGGUUGUAAAGCCCUUUUCUGAGGGACGAGCAAGGACGGUACCUCAGGAAUAAGUCACGGCUAACUACGUGCCAGCAGCCGCGGUAAUACGUAGGUGGCUAGCGUUAUCCGGAAUCACUGGGCGUAAAGCGCGUGUAGGUGGUUUCGUAAGUCGGACGUGAAAGCUCCUGGCUUAACUGGGAGAGGUCGUUCGAAACUGCGAGCUUGAGGUCGGGAGAGGGACGUGGAUUCCCGUGUAGUGGUGGAUGCGUAGAUAUCGGGAGGAACACCAGUGGCGAAGGCGACGUCCUAGCCCGACCUGACACUCAGACGCGAAGCGUGGGAGCGACGGGAUAGAUACCCGGUAGUCACGCUGAAACGGGGAUACUAGGUGUGGGAAGAGCUUUUAGACCCAGCUACGGUGAGUGCCGCUGGGAUCGGCCAGAU